AAUCCAUGGUGAGGGUAUCUUCUCAUCAAAUCCUUAUACCUCUCUUAAGCCUCAUAUAAUGAUUCAGAAUCUAAUUGCAUGAAAGAAGUGAUAUCAUUUCGUAU
RNAcentral lists this small nucleolar RNA (104 nucleotides) under Theobroma cacao (cacao). RNAcentral describes it as "Plant small nucleolar RNA R71". It matches the Rfam family "Plant small nucleolar RNA R71". Rfam says of the family: R71 is a member of the C/D box family of snoRNAs containing the C (UGAUGA) and D (CUGA) box motifs. The record is from Rfam by way of RNAcentral. Lineage: Eukaryota; Viridiplantae; Streptophyta; Magnoliopsida; Malvales; Malvaceae.